Molecule: unclassified non-coding RNA, 377 nt
Filed under: uncultured Solirubrobacterales bacterium
Lineage: Bacteria; Bacillati; Actinomycetota; Thermoleophilia; Solirubrobacterales
Description: contains 16S-23S intergenic spacer region
Source: RNAcentral
UCCGGUUUGUCACCGGCAGUCUCGCAUGAGUCCCCAACUAAAUGCUGGCAACAUGCGACGGGGGUUGCGCUCGUUGCGGGACUUAACCCAACAUCUCACGACACGAGCUGACGACAGCCAUGCACCACCUGUGAAGGUCCAGCCAAACUGACCUCGUGUUUCCACGGGUACGACCUACAUGUCAAGCCCAGGUAAGGUUCUUCGCGUUGCGUCGAAUUAAACCACAUGCUCCGCUGCUUGUGCGGGUCCCCGUCAAUUCCUUUGAGUUUUAGCCUUGCGGCCGUACUCCCCAGGCGGGGCACUCAUUGCGUUUGCGUCGGCGCGGGAGGGGUCGAUACCCCCCACACCUGGUGCCCACCGUUUACAGCGUGGACUAC